GAUGAACGCUGGCGGCGUGCCUAAUACAUGCAAGUCGAGCGAAAAGACGAGGAGCUUGCUCCUCUGACGUUAGCGGCGCACGGGUGAGUAACACGUGGAUAACCUACCUAUAAGACUGGGAUAACUUCGGGAAACCGGAGCUAAUACCGGAUAAUAUAUUCAACCGCAUGGUUCAAUAGUGAAAGACGGUUUUGCUGUCACUUAUAGAUGGAUCCGCGCGGCAUUAGCUAGUUGGUAAGGUAACGGCUUACCAAGGCAACGAUGCGUAGCCGACCUGAGAGGGUGAUCGGCCACACUGGAACUGAGACACGGUCCAGACUCCUACGGGAGGCAGCAGUAGGGAAUCUUGCGCAAUGGGCGAAAGCUUGACGGAGCAACGCCGCGUGAUUGAUGAAGGUCUUCGGAUCGUAAAACUCUGUUAUUAGGGAAGAACAAAUGUGUAAGUAACUAUGCACGUCUUGACGGUACCUAAUCAGAAAGCCACGGCUAACUACGUG
This 497-nucleotide ribosomal RNA is filed under the name uncultured bacterium. RNAcentral's name for it is "partial 16S ribosomal RNA". It matches the Rfam family "Bacterial small subunit ribosomal RNA", at positions 28 to 507 of the family's 1533-position model. The record is from RNAcentral.